CAAUAGCGUAUAUUUAAGUUGCUGCAGUUAAAAAGCUCGUAGUUGGAUUUCGGGUGGGAAUGGCCGGUCCGCCGUUUCGGUGUGCACUUGCUACGCCCACCUUGCUGCCGGGGACGUGCUCUUGAGUUCACGCUCGGGACACGGAGUCGGCGAGGUUACUUUGAGUAAAUCAGAGUGUUCAAAGCAGGCCUACGCUCUGAAUACAUUAGCAUGGAAUAACACGAUAGGACUCUGGCCUAUCUUGUUGGUCUGUAGGACCGGAGUAAUGAUUAAGAGGGACAGUCGGGGGCAUUCGUAUCUCAUUGUCAGAGGUGAAAUUCUUGGAUUUAUGAAAGACGAACUACUGCGAAAGCAUUUGCCAAGGAUGUUUUCAUUAA
RNAcentral lists this ribosomal RNA (377 nucleotides) under uncultured eukaryote. RNAcentral's name for it is "partial 18S ribosomal RNA". It matches the Rfam family "Eukaryotic small subunit ribosomal RNA", at positions 592 to 976 of the family's 1831-position model. The record is from RNAcentral.